RNAcentral lists this ribosomal RNA (430 nucleotides) under Pseudomonadota bacterium. RNAcentral describes it as "Proteobacteria bacterium partial 16S ribosomal RNA". It matches the Rfam family "Bacterial small subunit ribosomal RNA", at positions 355 to 776 of the family's 1533-position model. The record is from RNAcentral. Lineage: Bacteria; Pseudomonadati; Pseudomonadota.
UGGGGAAUAUUGGACAAUGGGGGGAACCCUGAUCCAGCCAUGCCGCGUGUGUGAAGAAGGCCUUAUGGUUGUAAAGCACUUUAAGCGAGGAGGAGGGUACUGGUAUUUAUACUACCAGCUACUGGACGUUACUCGCAGAAUAAGCACCGGCUAACUCUGUGCCAGCAGCCGCGGUAAUACAGAGGGUGCGAGCGUUAAUCGGAUUUACUGGGCGUAAAGCGUGCGUAGGCGGCUAAUUGAGUCGGAUGUGAAAUCCCCGAGCUUAACUUGGGAAUUGCAUUCGAUACUGGUUAGCUAGAGUGUGGGAGAGGAUGGUAGAAUUCCAGGUGUAGCGGUGAAAUGCGUAGAGAUCUGGAGGAAUACCGAUGGCGAAGGCAGCCAUCUGGCCUAACACUGACGCUGAGGUACGAAAGCAUGGGGAGCAAACAGG